RNAcentral lists this ribosomal RNA (497 nucleotides) under uncultured bacterium. RNAcentral describes it as "partial 16S ribosomal RNA". It matches the Rfam family "Bacterial small subunit ribosomal RNA", at positions 28 to 507 of the family's 1533-position model. The record is from RNAcentral.
GAUGAACGCUGGCGGCGUGCCUAAUACAUGCAAGUCGAGCGAACAGACGAGGAGCUUGCUCCUCUGACGUUAGCGGCGGACGGGUGAGUAACACGUGGAUAACCUACCUAUAAGACUGGGAUAACUUCGGGAAACCGGAGCUAAUACCGGAUAAUAUAUUGAACCGCAUGGUUCUAUAGUGAAAGACGGUUUUGCUAUCACUUAUAGAUGGAUCCGCGCCGCAUUAGCUAGUUGGUAAGGUAACGGCUUACCAAGGCGACGAUGCGUAGCCGACCUGAGAGGGUGAUCGGCCACACUGGAACUGAGACACGGUCCAGACUCCUACGGGAGGCAGCAGUAGGGAAUCUUCCGCAAUGGGCGAAAGCCUGACGGAGCAACGCCGCGUGAGUGAUGAAGGUCUUCGGAUCGUAAAACUCUGUUAUUAGGGAAGAACAAAUGUGUAAGUAACUAUGCACGUCUUGACGGUACCUAAUCAGAAAGCCACGGCUAACUACGUG